This 130-nucleotide non-coding RNA is filed under the name Geobacter metallireducens. RNAcentral describes it as "SAM-I sequence". It matches the Rfam family "SAM riboswitch aptamer (S box leader)". From Rfam's summary of the family: The SAM riboswitch is found upstream of a number of genes which code for proteins involved in methionine or cysteine biosynthesis in Gram-positive bacteria. The SAM riboswitch acts at the level of transcription termination control. The record is from RNAcentral. RNAcentral also lists the same sequence under 1 other name. Lineage: Bacteria; Pseudomonadati; Thermodesulfobacteriota; Desulfuromonadia; Geobacterales; Geobacteraceae.
UUCUUAUCAAGAGUGGUGGAGGGAAAGGCCCUGCGAAGCCACAGCAACCGGUCUUCCGGGUCGCAUUCGAGCACGAAGGCGAACCGGAAGGUGACAGGUGCUAAAUCCUGCCGGGAGGCAAAGAUGAGAA